This 235-nucleotide unclassified non-coding RNA is filed under the name Capnodiales sp. RNAcentral's name for it is "partial contains 5.8S ribosomal RNA, internal transcribed spacer 2, and large subunit ribosomal RNA". Lineage: Eukaryota; Fungi; Ascomycota; Dothideomycetes; Capnodiales. The record is from RNAcentral.
CGCACAUCGCGCCCUUUGGCAUUCCGAGGGGCAUGCCUGUUCGAGCGUCAUUACACCACUCAAGCCUGGCUUGGUAUUGGGCGACGGGACGCACCCGCGCCUCAAUUUCACCGGCUGGACGACCCAAUUUUCGGCGUUGUGACAUCAAAUUCGCUGGCGAGGAGGGUGGUCUAUGCCGUUAAAUCUUUUUAUCAAGGUUGACCUCGGAUCAGGUAGGGAUACCCGCUGAACUUAA